AAGGCAUGACUUAUUGCUAGAAAGAAAUGUCGUAACUAGGCCACAUUCACCUAAACAAGGUUUUAACUUCCAUUUACUUCAUAAAGUAGGGUGGGGUCAGUCAAACUCCAGGUUGACUUUGAUGCAAUUGUGUACAUAUAUAGAUUCUUACAACUUAGAGUUGCAUAAAGACGGUGGGGUUGCUCAAGUGCGCUUGGGGAGUUAUUCCCUUCUGAAUGUUUUUUUUAUCUCUUCCAAAAUUACUUAUUUAGCUUAUUAGGAUUUAUAUUUGUUUUUAUGCCUUUUAAUUGAUUUCUUAGCCAAAAAGGGGUUCCUCAAGCAAACAACAACAAAAGGCACUGAGAAAAUUACAGCACCUUACUUAAGCCAUUACUAAGUUACUGUAAAAAAUUUGGGAGCCAUAGGAUUACCACAAAAAGAAUUAAAUGCAUAUUAUCACCAAGGGUAGCAUGUACUUAACUAUUUUUAUCUCCAAACCUACAGUGAAACUGAGUGUGAAAUUUUACCAGUAGGUUGAAGGUGUGUUACAGAGGCUUUGGUGAAGUUUUCAUGAUUUUUGGAGAAGGACAACAAUUUCCCUUAUUUAUCUCCUAUUUAAUCAUGUUUUAUAAGGAAAGUGGGUUUCUUUCUUAUUCUGAC
This 639-nucleotide long non-coding RNA is filed under the name Setaria viridis. Its description in RNAcentral is "long non-coding RNA (SVIR_LNC001720)". Lineage: Eukaryota; Viridiplantae; Streptophyta; Magnoliopsida; Poales; Poaceae. The record is from RNAcentral.